This 462-nucleotide ribosomal RNA is filed under the name uncultured bacterium. Its description in RNAcentral is "partial 16S ribosomal RNA". It matches the Rfam family "Bacterial small subunit ribosomal RNA", at positions 28 to 507 of the family's 1533-position model. The record is from RNAcentral.
GAUGAACGCUGACAGAAUGCUUAACACAUGCAAGUCAUUGGCGAAGCUGCGCUUGCGCAGUCUAGCCAAGGCGGACGGGUGAGUAACGCGUAAGGAACUUGCCCUGCAGACAGGGAUAACAGACGGAAACGACUGAUAACACCUGGUAUUGUCAGGCUGGCGCAUGCCGGCCUGAUGAAAGGAGACGCUGCAGGAGAGCCUUGCGUCCUAUUAGCUAGUUGGUGGGGUAACGGCCCACCAAGGCGAUGAUAGGUAGCCGGCCUGAGAGGGUGAACGGCCACAAGGGGACUGAGAUACAGCCCUUACUCCUACGGGAGGCAGCAGUGGGGAAUAUUGGACAAUGGGGGCAACCCUGAUCCAGCAAUUCUGUGUGCACGAAGAAGGUUUUCGGAUUGUAAAGUGCUUUCAGCAGGGAAGAAGAAAGUGACGGUACCUGCAGAAGAAGCGACGGCUAAAUACGUG